Molecule: long non-coding RNA, 1478 nt
Filed under: Phascolarctos cinereus (koala)
Lineage: Eukaryota; Metazoa; Chordata; Mammalia; Diprotodontia; Phascolarctidae
Description: lncRNA (ENSPCIG00000033253.1)
Source: RNAcentral
CCUUGAUGAAAUUCAGUCCUGCUCUUUGUGCCCCUGAUGUAUACUUACCAUUUAAUAUUCUAUUUAUAGCUGUAUAUGUUCUUUCUGGUGGAAUAUAAGCUCUUGAGAACAAGAUUGUUUAAUUUUUGGUUUUGUGUCCUUAGCACCUCUGUAUUUUUCACUAAGUAAAUACUUAAUGUUUGCCUAAUUGAAUUGGCAUCUUAUUCCCAUAACAUACUGUGCUGGGUAAACUCUUAUCUAAACUUUGGAUCUUCUCUAACACAGGGUUCUGCAUAGUCACUGUCGUUAUCCUUUGAUCACUUGAGUAUAACUGUGGGUGGGUGAGAAGCUAAUGUAUGCUCUGGUCAUUUAAUUUCUUACCAUUGUGUUCUUAGAGCCAGAGUAGUGUUGAGGGGGAGUUCAACUGAUAGCUGAUUGUUGUUCAUAUGUGUGUGUAUUUAACAUAUUAUUUUCAGACAUUUGAUCAGUUUCUUUUAAUUUUCCACAGGGAAUUGUAGCCCUUACAGGAAGAACCAGGGCCUGAAGAAAAGAAAAUUGGAUUCCCAUUAACUGGGGCCUGGAACCCUUAAGAUACUGGGCCAUAUAAGGACCUAGGAAUACCAGAAGGAGGCCAUGCAGAAGAGCACUUUACCCCUUCAUGGCCCUGAGGUUGGAAUUAGAACCAGACCACUUGAUAGCUUAAGAACCAAGUCAACCCUUAAGUUCAACUUUAACCAGACAGUACUCUCUCCAUCUGAUGCCUUCUCUGGUCUUACUCUGGAAUAAUAAGUAAGGCUCCUGAAAGUAAUGAGCUUGGCUAGCAGAUAUGAUUACCUAUAAACAAGCUUCCUCUUCAUCCUUCAAACUUUUCUUUCUGCUACUUAAUACAUACCACUCCCUAGGACCUCAACCUAACUGCUCGAUAUAGUUAAAAUCACUUUCCCCCCUAUACUCCUGCCUCCAACCAACUUUCUCAACAUAACCCCUCCCACCCUCUUUCAAGACCUGCUUUGGGCAAAGUUUCCUGGUGGUUUAAAAGUACCCUUUGGUACUGGUUUGCCCGGUGGUAUACCUAAUUCGGGACCACAUGGACCUAAAGGUUCUUUCAACCUGUCCUCUGGCUGGGGUCUGCUGGGAAGAUGAUGCUAAACUGCAGAAGCAAUAGAAGUCCAAGGCACUAAAAUGUCCAGCAAGCAAUACUGGGAGAACAGACAAGUAUUCAAGUACAGUAAUUUUACAAUUUUACAUUCACAUUUAUUUAUCUAAUACAAUGGAAAUACAAAGGAAAAAGUUAAAGUGUCUCCAAUAAGUAUACGGAUAUAGCUAGCUUUUUUUGAACUUUUUUAACCCUCUAUAUUCCACUCUUAACUACUGUUGUCCAACAACAUUUAUAUAUCACAGUGUUUCCACAUCAAAACUGAUGGCAAAGUUACAUGUCCGCAGGGAACUUUAAAAAAAAAACAAUUUAAAUGGCUAAUGCUGCAGUCAAAGCUAUUAAU